CCCUCGAGUCUACGCAGCCCAGUGGCCGUGUGUGUCUUGGCGUUGGGCGUGACGUGCAGCAACGGUGGAGUUGACGAUCCAAAGGCCUGACUCCACAGCGGUAAUGAGCCUUGUGUACCUUGCACUGUCUUCACUGACAACGCCCACUACUAACCCCUCUGCCUCCGCCACCGUUUCAAGAUCAGGGAAGGACUCUGCCUUGCAUCGCGCACUGUGAUGGUCGCCGCCCCCGCCCCCGCACCCGCCGCCGCUGCUGCUGCUGCUGCUGCUGCUGCUGCCGCGGCUAAGGGAGAAUAGUUUGUUGAGUGGAUGACGGCGCGUUCACUGACCCUCUCCCCAUCACCCUACCAACUCCGGCCACCCACCCCCCUGCCACCAGACACCUGCUACACCACCACUACCGCCGGCUCCGUCCAGUGAAAGAUUCAUCGCAGACCUGCCAUUCAACGCCUGCCGCCGCCACCACCACCACCACCACCUCCUUAUGGUGGUGUCACUGUACCUGGAGCUGUUGUCAUGAUUGAAUAAUAAAUUGUGAAGAAAU
RNAcentral lists this long non-coding RNA (544 nucleotides) under Portunus trituberculatus (swimming crab). RNAcentral describes it as "uncharacterized LOC123502447". The record is from RNAcentral. Lineage: Eukaryota; Metazoa; Arthropoda; Malacostraca; Decapoda; Portunidae.